This is a non-coding RNA of Myotis davidii, 118 nucleotides long. The record is from Rfam. Lineage: Eukaryota; Metazoa; Chordata; Mammalia; Chiroptera; Vespertilionidae.
AAUAAAGAUCAUCUUGUCUGAACGUACCCUAUCUUGUCUUAUCUCAGAAGCUAAGCAGGGUCGGGCCUAGUUAGUACUUGGAUGGGAAAUCACCUGGGAAUACCAGCUGCUUUAGUCU